CUUCCUUAAGACACCCAAACUUUCAUGCAUGCAGCAAUGCACGCCUCAUAAAUCAGCCAGAGCAGAGAAGGGUAAUAGUAUGUAUUUGGUAAUCACUCCAUGCUUGUAUUUCCAAUCUGUGGUGCUUGAAUUUUGAAUAGUUACAUGCUGUAAUUAGCAAUUCUGCUCACCAUUUUUAUUUCCCUUUCCUUUUUAGAUUAAUGACCUAACUCAGCAUUUUAAGGUACAGCCAACAAACUCUGGGCAGAGCUAGAGUAGCAUAAUGAAUCUCUCUGUCUCUCUUUCAGCAUACCAUCCUAAUAGCUGUGGCUCCUAAUUCAUGUUUCCUGUUUUUGUGUAUUACAGCUUAAUCAAAAUGUAAGUGGAAUAAAUAAUGUUGCCAGUUCUUACACUCUCUCUCACCAAUUCCAGGCAUUUUUACUACACUGUCUUUGUGAUUCUGAUGUUGUAAAACAAGUAUGUCGCUCUGGCAGUUCUCUUUAUCUCAAAAUCCAAAUAUUGCAGUUGUCUCCCCUGUUUUCUGGGCAAGGUCAAGCUGAUGGCAGAGAAUACCUGCUCAUUAACUCUGCAGUUUCUUUCACUGAUACUUUGAGGUGCACAUGGCAGUGCAUGUUAUUUUGUUUGCAGUAAGUGAGACUCCUGAGAAUCAGUCUGCCAGGGCCUGAGUUCAUAGGAUUCAUAAGGCAGAUGUGAGUUCGGAAAUGAGCAACUACUUUAACAGUGAGGAACUUGUAUUGCUCAUGGCUAUAUCUCAUAAGGAGCUACAAAAUGAUUCUCAUCCACUACUGACUGGGUCAUGACACAAUUAAUGUACUGCUUUAGAGACUGUCUUGUAAAUAUAUUUAUAACAGCAGCUUUGAGAUUAAUUUUAAUAUUUAUGCAGGAAUAGCCUGCGCAUUUUGGACUGUGUUUGUCCAAAUGCUAAGUGUCAGCCCUUACAGAAUGUGCAUUGGCUCUUGUUGGUGAUGAUAAUAUAGUGGCCCAUUUAUGCACAGGCUUAGGCACACUGAACAACUUUGUGGUCCUGCCUGUCAGACUGUUUAUUUUUGCUUAAGGCACAAGUCAUUGCUCUAUGCUAAAUUUACAUAAACUUUCUGAAGCAAAAGGGAACUGUUUAGCAGAGCGCCUGACUGGAGGCACUGAAUAAUGGAAAGAAGCCAUUGGGUAUAUGGGUGUAUCUGGCAAAUCCGUAACACGUUUCAAAUCAGACUCUGCUUAGGCCUUGAGAUAGAAUUCUCUUAAAGGAGCAUAUGAAUUAGGCUGCAGUCUUGUAUCACCUUAACAGGGAAGAAGUCCCUUUGGACUCAGUGGGACUUCUUUUGAGUAGAAGUGUGUAAGUUUGCACUGUCAGAUACU
This is a non-coding RNA of Podarcis lilfordi (Lilford's wall lizard), 1356 nucleotides long. Lineage: Eukaryota; Metazoa; Chordata; Lepidosauria; Squamata; Lacertidae. The record is from the annotation of a GenBank genome assembly.